Macaca mulatta (Rhesus monkey) is the source of this 148-nucleotide unclassified non-coding RNA. It matches the Rfam family "Metazoan signal recognition particle RNA". Rfam says of the family: The signal recognition particle (SRP) is a universally conserved ribonucleoprotein. It is involved in the co-translational targeting of proteins to membranes. The record is from Ensembl. NCBI's taxonomy places the organism in Eukaryota, Metazoa, Chordata, Mammalia, Primates, Cercopithecidae.
GCUGGGCAUGGUGGCACAUGCCUGUAAUCCCAGCUACUCUGGAGGCGGAGGCAGGAGAAUCGCUUGAACCUGGGAGGUUGAGGCUGCAGUGAGCUGAGAUUGCGCCACUGCACUCCAGCCUGGGCAACAGAGUGAGACUCUGUCUCAA